UGCUUUAUCCUGAGAUGGGCUGAGCUGUUCUGUAAGUGCUACUCCUUUUGGGAUAUGUGAUAGGAAUGGGAAGGAAAGCCUGGAGUACAACAUCCAACACCACGCUGAGGUGUACGAAUGUGUCCCUUGAAGACGUGCAGUCAUUCUUCCACGCUACUGAACGGCAGCAAAGCCUGACGCGGAAUUCAUGAGAGACGUCCUCCAGCUGAUGCACGUCUGGAAGUGAACAAUUCGUGUUACAAUUAAGUCCUGCACUGAAUAUAUUAUUGCUUUGAGAAGAGCCGGGACGAUUCUUUGUGAAGGCGCCUUCUGGCUGCCCUGGGAGAGCUCCUCAGACAGCCCUGAGACAGGCUGGCAAGUCACAUAAACCUUAAGUACGUGCCUCUGAGAAUGGAAGAUUCCCUGGGAAGCCUCAAUCUCUCGUUGUGUUACGGCCUGAUUAUCAAACAGACAAUUUACAUCUUAUUAGGUGUUUCCAUCUGUUGAUAGAAAAAUGCCCGAUUGCAUAACGUUCAUUUUGCUCCUGUU
This is a long non-coding RNA of Numida meleagris (helmeted guineafowl), 528 nucleotides long. RefSeq lists it as uncharacterized. The record is from RefSeq and is a predicted model, not a curated record. The transcript has 3 exons. NCBI's taxonomy places the organism in Eukaryota, Metazoa, Chordata, Aves, Galliformes, Numididae.